RNAcentral lists this long non-coding RNA (410 nucleotides) under Anas platyrhynchos platyrhynchos (common mallard). RNAcentral describes it as "lncRNA (ENSAPLG00000026290.1)". The record is from RNAcentral. Lineage: Eukaryota; Metazoa; Chordata; Aves; Anseriformes; Anatidae.
UUGUCCAGUGGAAAAGGCAUUGAAUCACGACUGGCAGAGAUGACUCUGCUCUGAGUGGAGUCUUGGCAGCAAAAUAGUGACGAAGCAGCAUCUCGAUUACAUCUUCCACCUGGUCUGCCGCUGAGAAUUAUCCAGAAGCUGCCUGGCACAAAGCUAACGUAACCUCCACCCGGUUGCCACUGGCUGCUGGAGGUUUAGGCUGGGUUGGAUCCCACUUGUUGCCCUGUGCUCGUAUCAGUUCAGCAUGGCCUGAUACAGUCACUGUUUUGUGCUUGAAGCAGUUACAGGUUUCCCUCACUGGGGUGGAUUUGAACAAUCAGCUCCUGCUGUGCCUCGGCGUGCACAGUCCACCUGGACUAACACCUUCAGCACUUCUCCUCUCUGCCUGGCAGACUGGCGCGGCGGUGUGA